ACAAAGCCAGCCUCUCAAAAUGAAAAUCCUUUUGACCCACAUUCUAAAAACAAAUCUCUCUUGUUCUUAAAUACUCUCACAAACCUUCUUCAAAAAAAUCACCUCAUCGCCCAAUUGUUUUUUUGUUUGUUUGUUUGUUUAAGCUCUAAAACUUCAUUUGUGAAUGGUGGAAACGAAUCAAAGUGACUGUAAUUUAAUGCUCUCCCUUCGUAAUUCAAGGGCGAGCACUAUCUGUUCUUGUAAACAAGGCUGGUAUUAUCAUCGCAUCGGCCUCGAUCCAUAAACCCUUUUUUUUUUUUAAUUUUUUGAAAAAAAAUAGAAGAAACCCAUUGCUUUUCGUCGCGAUUUUUAGUGGAUUUUGAUUUGAUUUUUUGAAAAAAAGAUUGUUCACAAUAAGCAGAAGAAGAAUCAGGGUUGUAAAGGCGAUAGGUUAUUGAUUAGCGUCUCUGUUUUGGGAAGUUCCGGUCCGAUCCGGUUCGUUGUUAAUGAAGGAGAACUGCAUUGAGUCCAUGCGAGACAAUUGGAUCAAUAGGGGCAAGGAAUUUCAUGCAAUGCAAGAAGCCAAGCACUGAGAAGAAAAUAGAAAAUAAUGGAAGGACCAAUGAAGCAAUUUCUAGAAAAGCAACUGGGAAUUGGAAAGCUUGGAUUAAUAAGUCCCUCAACCUUAAAAUUUAUUCCCAUUAAUUCAUUAUUCUUUUAUUUAUUAAUUUUUUUUAAUCUUUAUUUCUUGAUUGGAUUUUAAAUUUGUUAGAAGAAGUAUGUAUGGGAUUAAUAAAUUUGUUACUCGAAAUUGACUGAUUCAUAA
Long non-coding RNA from Gossypium arboreum, 805 nucleotides. RefSeq lists it as uncharacterized. The record is from RefSeq and is a predicted model, not a curated record. The transcript is spliced from 2 exons. NCBI's taxonomy places the organism in Eukaryota, Viridiplantae, Streptophyta, Magnoliopsida, Malvales, Malvaceae.